GUUGACAAGUUACGCUCUGAAAACACUGUUAUAAUGGAGCAAAUUAUGCAGACUAUGGCUGAAAUACGAUCAAGAGACUUACCUGUGAAAGGUAAGGCUAGAACAAUUCCAAGCAACACACGUACAAGGCAUUUUACCAUCUCUGACUCCUGAAUCCACAAAGAUGGCGCCGAUGUAGGAACGGCGUUCAGUGUUCUAUGGGGCGUCUAUGUGUUUAUGUCUGUGAGUGAAGCUGCUGACUGCAGGACAUUUCUGAACAGGCAUCUAAACUCAAGCCUAAAGAAUCAUUGCGUGACAUAAUAUAUAUGUGAAUGUUGCUGCUGUUGGGUUUACGUGUGGAGGAGUGUAAGGACUGGAAGGCGGGCUCCACCAACAAGAGACAGACGAACACAUCCGAGGUAAGUGCAAAAUCCCAAGUGAUUUUAUUUUAGUUCACAGCACGCAGAAAAAAUGUUAAAGGAAAAACUGUACAAAAAAUGAAAAGAAAGGAGUUUUAAAAGUAAUGAGGGCUACCUGACUUCACAUCAGCCAGUAAAGGGUCACAGCUGGCCUGCUGCACAAAAACCCUACCUCCCUCUAACAACGCCAUUUCCAAAUACAAAAAGGAGCCCCAAGUUUAGGCACGCCUCCCCUUUUAAGGUUGUAGCCCCACCCACCGAACAAUUGGCUAGGGGUGACUAAAACAUAUAUAUAAACAUACAGAAACAACACUUAUUUAUACACACUACUGAUAUCACUUAUUUACAGACAUGUCUCAUCCCCAAAAUAAUCCACUUUACAGGUAAGUAUUUACACAACAUAUUAUUAAUAACAUUUCCCUUUUUCCCCCACAGGUUUUACGGAGCAGCAGUCUCACCCCCCUCCCCACUAGUAACCGAGGGCCCUUUGAUCACCCAUGAGAGAGCUGGCAGACCACGAGUCCCCUAAGGAAAGUUAUCAGAUUAAUUGCAUCUGUGCACAGAGGAUUGUUGGAGUCAGCCUCCCCUGCACCAGGAAGGAUCCCACCCACCCAGCACACGCCCUUUUUGUCCCACUCCCCUCAUGCAGGAGGCUGCGGAGCAUCAACUGCAAAACAACCAGACUUAGAACCAACUUCAUUCCGGAAGCUGUAAGACUCUUAAACUCCACACUGCACUGACACUUUACAAGGACAAUUAGUGUUUACAAAAAUACUGUCACUUUAAACCGUACUGACACAUUUUAUCUUGUACUGCUCUUAAUCCACAUUAUCAUGCUGCUAUAGCACACUUGCACUCUGGACUCAUGUUGUUGCUACCUGCCUACUCUCCCUUUUUUAUGUAUUUAUCUUUUCUAUUUUGUUCUAUUCUCUUUUUAUUGAGUUCUUUAUUUUAUCUAUUUUCUCUAUAUUACCUAUUUUAAAAACAGCUCUUGGGUGUAAAUAGGAUCGUGAGAUCACAAUUUUGUUCCACCUCAUGUACCACAUGUCAUGCGAACGACAAUAAAAUCUCCUUGAAUCCUUGAACA
RNAcentral lists this long non-coding RNA (1485 nucleotides) under Astyanax mexicanus (Mexican tetra). Its description in RNAcentral is "lncRNA (ENSAMXG00005002610.1)". Lineage: Eukaryota; Metazoa; Chordata; Actinopteri; Characiformes; Acestrorhamphidae. The record is from RNAcentral.